Daphnia magna is the source of this 46-nucleotide non-coding RNA. NCBI's taxonomy places the organism in Eukaryota, Metazoa, Arthropoda, Branchiopoda, Diplostraca, Daphniidae. The record is from Rfam.
AACCCGGAUUUUUUCAAAUCCAAAUCCAAAUCCUUUAAAAAGAUUU